RNAcentral lists this small RNA (321 nucleotides) under Histoplasma capsulatum var. duboisii H88. RNAcentral describes it as "Histoplasma capsulatum H88 hypothetical RNA". The record is from RNAcentral. Lineage: Eukaryota; Fungi; Ascomycota; Eurotiomycetes; Onygenales; Ajellomycetaceae.
AUGCUUCGUAUACCCCCACAAUCCAAAUUUAUCUGACAGCAACACAAGUCUAAAGUUUUGUGAUUCUAUCGCGCAUGUGUCAGUUCUUUUGUUCGUAUCUCUGUGGGGAGGGCCAACGCGAACGAAGGAAGCGCUGGGCGAAAGGAUUUAUUCCCCCAACCAGCAAGCGCCGAAUUCAGUUAUAACACCAAUCCCUUCACCUAUCAUAUAAGCCUCAUCUCAGGUAUAUUGUUGUCCGAGCUGGUGACAGACGAAACUAUACAUCUGAGAUGGCUCUCCUUCCCUUGCUCUGAAAAAAAUACUCGACCACAAAAUGCCAUC